AUGAACGCUGGCGGCGUGCCUAAUACAUGCAAGUCGCGCGAACAGACGAGGAGCUUGCUCCUCUGACGUUAGCGGCGGACGGGUGAGUAACACGUGGAUAACCUACCUAUAAGACUGGGAUAACUUCGGGAAACCGGAGCUAAUACCGGAUAAUAUAUUGAACCGCAUGGUUCAAUAGUGAAAGACGGUUUUGCUGUCACUUAUAGAUGGAUCCGCGCCGCAUUAGCUAGUUGGUAAGGUAACGGCUUACCAAGGCAACGAUGCGUAGCCGACCUGAGAGGGUGAUCGGCCACACUGGAACUGAGACACGGUCCAGACUCCUACGGGAGGCAGCAGUAGGGAAUCUUCCGCAAUGGGCGAAAGCCUGACGGAGCAACGCCGCGUGAGUGAUGAAGGUCUUCGGAUCGUAAAACUCUGUUAUUAGGGAAGAACAAAUGUGUAAGUAACUAUGCACGUCUUGACGGUACCUAAGCAGAAAGCCACGGCUAACUACGU
RNAcentral lists this ribosomal RNA (495 nucleotides) under uncultured bacterium. RNAcentral's name for it is "partial 16S ribosomal RNA". It matches the Rfam family "Bacterial small subunit ribosomal RNA", at positions 29 to 506 of the family's 1533-position model. The record is from RNAcentral.